UGUGGGCUAACGCAGUGGGGGCUUUCCCACAUUACUGCAUUGGAGCUAUACAAAGGAAUUGGGCUAACUUUUAGUUCUGAUUUUCGGUCUCUUUUAAGGACCCCUUGCCCUCUUGGUGUACUUAUAAUUUCGGUUGAGCAGUUUUAAUAAUACUUUUCUUCUUAUAAAAAAAUAUUGUAGAAGACAUAAUCUUCUUUAAGUUUCUGGAAUUAAGAUAUUAAACUAACUUAGGAUAGCAUUUAUAAACUGUCCUCAACAACCAGUUGCUCCCCAGCCUCAUGUUAUAAGUCUUAUAACCAGUGAAAUACCAACCAAACUUACUCCAAAGUCCAAAACAAAAAUAUUCUGAAGAGAAGAAGAGAAAAUGAAGGGUAACCAGUGCUUGUCAAUUCUCUACUUGUUUCUUUUCUUAGCAAGUUUUUAUGUCACAUUUUUAGUCAGCUCAGUUGAGGCUAGGAAGAGCAGUGCUCUAAGUCAUAAGAAACAUCAUAAACAAAAACACGGCAAAGGAAAAUCUGGACGUUAUUGUCCACCCCCAGCUACACCAACACCAACACCAACACCAACUACACCUCCUUCAGGUUCGACUUACCCAGUAAUGUCAAAUAACUUUAAUGUCCUUUCCUUCGGGGCCAAAGGCAAUGGAGCUACUGAUGAUUCCAAGGCAUUGCUAGAAGCAUGGGAAGCUGCAUGCAAAGUCCAAGGGGCAACAGUAGAAAUUCCUUCAGGAUACAAGUUCUUUAUUAAACCAAUAACCCUCCAAGGGCCUUGUAUGCCACACCUUGUUCUUCAGAUAGAUGGGACGGUAUUAGCUCCCCCAAAAGUAAGUUCCUGGCCAGAGUCUGGUCUUUUUCAAUGGAUUAAUUUCAAAUGGGUGCAAAACUUCACCAUCCAAGGCAGUGGAACUGUUGAUGGCCAGGGCUCGGAAUGGUGGGUUUCCUCUCAGUCCACUACAAAUAAGAAGAGUUAUCAGCCUGCAAAAAUUCCAAAUAUGAAACCAAGUGCAUUAAGAUUCUACGGCAGCAAUAGCAUAACAGUUCGUGAUAUUACAAUAACAAACAGUCCAUUGUGCCAUCUGAAAUUCGAUAAUUCUAUCGGUGUUCAGGUCCAUAAUGUUACCAUUUCAUCUCCAGAAGAUAGUCCUAAUACUGAUGGCAUUCAUCUCCAGAACAGUAGAGAUGUUGAAAUACAUCACUCCAAUAUUGGCUGUGGAGAUGACUGUGUAUCCAUUCAAACUGGUUGCUCUAACAUUCAUCUACACCACAUAACCUGCGGUCCUGGUCAUGGUAUAAGUUUGGGAGGAUUAGGAAAAGAUAGAAGUGUCGCUUGUGUCUCAGAUAUCGUCGUUGAGAACAUCAUCAUGCAAAACACGUUGUUUGGAGCGAGGAUCAAGACAUGGCCGGGUGGUAUUGGAUCAGUGAAGAACGUAUCAUUUUCCAACAUACAACUCAAUGACUUUUUCACAAUGUCGCAAUCACAGUCCUAUGUUAUGAUGCCAAGGUUUCCGUACAACGUUGAUUCCUUGUCAGAAAAUCCGGAAUUAUACAGAUCAUUCUGCGAGCAAGUUCCUUUCAGGUUAUGCGAGUAAGUUAUUUAUCAGUCUAUGACUUGGAGGAUCACGUGUGUUCUUUGCAUGGCUCUUUGUCAAUAAAAAGCUCAAUGAAUAUUCACAAUCUCGCCGCCCAACAACAUAUGCAGAGUAUUCUUCAAGUGGUGGAUACUGGAAACGGAAGCCUGACUUAGUAUCUUUCCAAGAUGGUGGAUGAGGUACCUAGUACCUUCAGUUGUUUGUUUCCAACAAAUCAUCCCAUGAACAUUUCUUAUGAAGAUGCAACAAAGAAUUCCAUGAAUGUUUCUUUCGAAGAUCUAUCAAAAAGAGAGACACCCGUAUUUCGGCACGAAUGUCAGUGUAAUGCUCUUAGGUAAGCAGCUAUUUAUAUUGUAUAUUUUCCAGAUACAACACUAAUGAAGACGGAUCAUAAACCCCAAGUGAGCUUUUGCAAGGCAACCAAAAGAAAUAUACGACUGAAGACACUCAAGACAGUACUAAUUUUGGAGUCUAAGAUGGCGGUUCAGACGUGAGUUUCGGUCAUCUCUGCUUCUGGCUGAUGCGCUAGUUUGAUUGAGAUUGUUUCUGCUAUUGUGUAGGAGAUGGGGCCAGAAUAUUGUGUUUAGAUGACUGUGUUCUGCCCCUGCAACACACAGAGUAUAUUUUCGGGUGAGUAGUUGUAGACAUGGUUAUUGGACGGGUUGGGUACGGCCAGAUUAUAUUUCCGGAUUCUCCACAUACUCACCUGAGCUCUUGCAAGGCAACCAAAAGGUCAGCCCGUUGUGCUCGUACCAAAUUUCUAACAUGACAUCAAUACAUGCACAACCUAUGGCCAUCGACAUGCUCAUGCCAUGUUGGGUUUACAGCAAGCUUGUUUCAUGUAGUACCAACUUCGUUUCCAAGCCCGUAUGCUGACCAGACCCCUGCACUUCUACAUUUGAUUAUUAAUAUCUUACAAAAUAAAUUAUGAGUUAUCCUUGAGGUUUGAAAUAACACAAGUAAUGUGUUUGUUGUUCGUCCUUCUUCCUAACAAAUGUUCAUUGUAUUUGGUGUUCAUCGUGGUGACUCGUGAGAUAUAUAUCCGUCCAUAUUAACCAGAAAUUACUUAAUUUUAUCAUUAAAGAAUUACUGUAACAUUGUAGUAAGUGAUU
Spinacia oleracea (spinach) is the source of this 2700-nucleotide RNA transcript. It is a transcript of the gene named polygalacturonase At1g48100, with no coding region annotated. The record is from RefSeq and is a predicted model, not a curated record. Lineage: Eukaryota; Viridiplantae; Streptophyta; Magnoliopsida; Caryophyllales; Amaranthaceae. The transcript has 16 exons.